UGUUAGGUGGCUGAGUAUAAAGGCGGUAGACUGUAGAUCUAUUAACGGAAUUAAAUUUUCUCAACUGU
This 68-nucleotide transfer RNA is filed under the name Alcithoe benthicola. RNAcentral describes it as "tRNA-Tyr". The record is from RNAcentral. Lineage: Eukaryota; Metazoa; Mollusca; Gastropoda; Neogastropoda; Volutidae. RNAcentral also lists the same sequence under 1 other name.